ACUAAAAGCAGAUCGCUAGAUAAAAUCAUUAUGAGUUUGUUGUAUCUUAUCAUUGGUUCCUUUGUACUAAUGGGUACCCCCUGUCCACCUAUGGCACCAAGAUGCCGUCUUUAAAAAGCAAAUUCACAAUGGGUCUUGCCGACUAGUAUGACUAAUUAAUUAAUAUCAUAUUUGCUCAAGCGCUUUUUUCAUCAAUUUUUAUGCAUCUACAGUAAUAGGCAGUAGAUCUUUUCCUACUGUGUAUACACAGCUGAUUAAAUUUGUGUAAAUC
Molecule: non-coding RNA, 271 nt
Organism: Drosophila melanogaster (fruit fly)
Lineage: Eukaryota; Metazoa; Arthropoda; Insecta; Diptera; Drosophilidae
Source: Ensembl